Ipomoea nil (Japanese morning glory) is the source of this 94-nucleotide transfer RNA. It matches the Rfam family "tRNA". From Rfam's summary of the family: Transfer RNA (tRNA) molecules are approximately 80 nucleotides in length. Their secondary structure includes four short double-helical elements and three loops (D, anti-codon, and T loops). Lineage: Eukaryota; Viridiplantae; Streptophyta; Magnoliopsida; Solanales; Convolvulaceae. The record is from Rfam.
CUAACCUUAGCUCAGUUGGUAGAGUUGUGGACUGUAGUUGGACUAAUCUAAAUUGGAAAUCCUUAGGUCGCUGGUUCGAAUCUGGCAGGUCGGA